GCCAGUGUAGCUCAGUCGGCCAGAGCAACUGAUUCGUAAUCAGUAGGUCGGGGGUUCGAAUCCCCCUGCUGGCUCCA
Molecule: transfer RNA, 77 nt
Filed under: Candidatus Aminicenantota bacterium
Lineage: Bacteria; Candidatus Aminicenantota
Description: Candidatus Aminicenantes bacterium tRNA-Thr
Rfam family: tRNA
About the family: Transfer RNA (tRNA) molecules are approximately 80 nucleotides in length. Their secondary structure includes four short double-helical elements and three loops (D, anti-codon, and T loops). Further hydrogen bonds mediate the characteristic L-shaped molecular structure. tRNAs have two regions of fundamental functional importance: the anti-codon, which is responsible for specific mRNA codon recognition, and the 3' end, to which the tRNAs corresponding amino acid is attached (by aminoacyl-tRNA synthetases). tRNAs cope with the degeneracy of the genetic code in two manners: having more than one tRNA (with a specific anti-codon) for a particular amino acid; and 'wobble' base-pairing, i.e. permitting non-standard base-pairing at the 3rd anti-codon position.
Source: RNAcentral